UGUUGAUGUGCUCCAAAUGGCUUCUUGACUGUAGAUGCCCGACUCUAGUUUGUGCUCCACUUUCCCCGUUAGCAUCAUAAAGGGAUCAGUCAAGCUGUCUGAUGUAAUCUUGGUGUUUCUAAAAACUUGUCCUUGUAACCAAAGCCCCAAGACUGAGGUGCAAAAUUUCAGUGGGGAGGAGGGUUUUUUUUAACUACUGUUUUUAAAUCAGUUUGGAAAAUAUCUAAACUGAGUAUUUUCUAAAGUUUUUAGAUCUGGUGUCAAUGGAAAUGUGAUGGAAUCUGUAUCUUGUCCUUGGAUCUUUUGCUGAAUGAGCUAUGGAGUAGCUGCAGAUGUAGAAGCUGGAUCACCUCCCCCUGUCUUUUUUUUUCCUCAGAAAAUUGAAUGUUGAGUUUUCAUUUUACUACAGAAAAGUGCUCUAUCAGUGUGUGAGCUACAGCUACCAUCCUGUAGAGGAUGGUUUCACUGAAGGAGACUGGCUGGAAGGGCAUUAAUGUUCUGAUGCAGAUACUCCCUUGCAAAUCUCCAUGUUUUCUUCUAUGCUCCAAUUGCUUCAAUGUGAGGAAUGUCUCAGGCUUUCUGUUUGCAGACUGUUUUCAUGGUGACAUAGCUUCUGCUCAGACCUUUCUGCCGUGGCUGUAUGUUCCUGAAGCCAUCAGUUCAGGUUCAUGUCCUCCUUUAGAUACUUCCAAAACUAGAUGGGAGGAUUUGUUUUUUCCAUUGUUUCAGAUAGCCUUAAAUAUGAGUGUAGUUAUGACCCUUCACAGGUGCUCUUGAUGGCUGAAUUGGGGGUGGUUAGGGGUGUUUAAAAAACAUCCAUCCAUUCCUAGCUGUUCCAGGGCAAGAAUGGGCAUGGGGGGGAUUUAUGUUUUCUCUAAUGUGUACAGGGUUUUCAAUCAGUACUAAUGCUAUAUUGUACUGAAUGAGCAGUUGAACUUGGUGAAUAAUUUAAGUCAAGUUUGGGAAAUAUAUCUGGUGCAUCGAACAGUAUGUUUUUAUUUCAGUAAGGUUUUAAAAAAAUCUGUGUUGAUUCUGCCUUUCAACAAAAACGUAGGUACAUAAUGCAAGAACAAGAAUGGAUUGACUAGGAGACCAGAGGACACUACAUUUAUGUGGAAUAGAUAAGCAAUGAAAACAUAGUUUGAAAAGAAAUAAUUAAUUAAAAAAGCAGAUGUGCUGAUUUUUGCAAGACGGCUUUUUUCAUAUAAUUGCAAGACGGUUUCAUUAUUAUAAUUAACAAUUGGC
Molecule: long non-coding RNA, 1245 nt
Filed under: Cyanistes caeruleus (blue tit)
Lineage: Eukaryota; Metazoa; Chordata; Aves; Passeriformes; Paridae
Description: lncRNA (ENSCCEG00000008138.1)
Source: RNAcentral